RNAcentral lists this unclassified non-coding RNA (383 nucleotides) under uncultured bacterium. RNAcentral describes it as "contains 16S-23S intergenic spacer region". The record is from RNAcentral.
UCCUGGUUUCCCAGGCAGUUCCGCCAGAGUGCCUUCCGAAGAAGUAGCAACUGACAGUAGGAGUUGCGCUCGUUAGAGGACUUAACCAGACAUCUCACGACACGAGCUGACGACAGCCAUGCAGCACCUGUACACCUGUCCGAACAAAGUCCGAAAAAUCGUAUUUCUACGACGAUCAAGUGCAUGUCAAGCCUAGGUAAGGUCUCUCGCGUAGUGUCGAAUUAAACCACAUGUUCCACCGCUUGUGCGGACCCCCGUCAAUUCCUUUAAGUUUUAGUCUUGCGACCGUAGUCCCCAGGCGGAUCACUUAACGCGUUAGCUACGACACUGACUCUGCUAAGCAAAGCCAACGUCCAGUGAUCAUCGUUUACAGCGCGGACUAC